UACGUAGGGUGCGAGCGUUGUCCGGAAUUACUGGGCGUAAAGAGCUCGUAGGUGGUUUGUCGCGUUGUUCGUGAAAACUCACAACUCAAUUGUGGGCGUGCGGGCGAUACGGGCAGACUGGAGUACUGCAGGGGAGACUGGAAUUCCCGGUGUAGCGGUGAAAUGCGUAGAGAUCGGGAGGAACACCAGAGGCGAAGGCGGCGACCUGGACAGUUACUGACACUCAACUACGAAAGCGUGGGGAGCAAACAGG
This 253-nucleotide ribosomal RNA is filed under the name uncultured bacterium. RNAcentral's name for it is "partial 16S ribosomal RNA". It matches the Rfam family "Bacterial small subunit ribosomal RNA", at positions 524 to 776 of the family's 1533-position model. The record is from RNAcentral.